UUCAACCAUUUCUUCAUCAAAUGGUUUUUUAUACAAGAUAUAAAAUCAAAGCAUCUAAAUAGAAAUAAGGAAACGCUUUAAUCUUCCAUUCUACACUGUAACAUCAAAACCCUUUAAUAUUUCACAUUUACGGAGACUUAAAAAUUAUAAAAAAACACUAUCAAUAAUUAGAAAUCAGAAUGACAGAACUGGAAGGCUAUUCUACAUCUAACAUCUACUUGUCUCGUGUUACUACUACUCUUCAAAAGCCACAUAACCAAAGAAAAGCAUACCACUUACCAGAUGCCAAUAGUAUAUAUUAAUUUACCUACCACUUCCGUUGUUCGGCUUCGACAAUAACCAUUAGCAAUAACAAGGACGAAGGAAGAGAAGACAGGAAAAGAGAAGAGAACAGAGAUGGUCUCAGUCUGGGAUAGGGAAGUGGGAAGAUUAGAAGUCACUAGUCACAUGUAGUUGGGUACAUGGAAUUAGGUUUGACUU
RNAcentral lists this long non-coding RNA (480 nucleotides) under Olea europaea (common olive). Its description in RNAcentral is "long non-coding RNA (OEUR_LNC002859)". Lineage: Eukaryota; Viridiplantae; Streptophyta; Magnoliopsida; Lamiales; Oleaceae. The record is from RNAcentral.